GGCUUUGCUCUGGGGCUGCACUGUCCCCCAUAGAAGUGACAGUGGAAGGGGGAUAGCUGGGCAGUGCUGACCUCUUCUCGCUAAAAAACAUGAUGCUGAGGGAGCUGGGGCCCUCUGAGGUCUGGUGGAGACCCCUGAUAAGGUCCAAACCAGCAGCUGCAUGUAGGGAGGCCCAGGAGAAGAGGAAAGGACUCCUGGAGCCACGUGUCAUGCAGACUCUAGAAGCUGGGGCUUGAAGAAAAGCAAAAGUGUCCAGUGUCAUGAGCUUCAGGAGAGGCAGAGCAGCUCUUUCACAGAGUUAGUGUCUCACUGAAGGAGACUUUCUUUAAUAGGCUGGAGACAAGCUAUUCUAGCUACAUCAGGUGAACUGGGUGCUUUGCCUUCAUGGACAUCUGUGGCCCGUUGGGGACUCUGUGCCACAUCCCUCCACAAAACACCCGGGAAUGUGGAGUGGCUGGACAAUAUAAACCGUCUCACCCAGUUCAUUCCCUGUUACCCAGGAUGGAAAACAUUCAUCUUCAGAGCGAGAGACUGGAGCCAGAGGCAGCUUCAUACCUCUCCAACGUGAUUAGCAAAGCGGACAUGAAUUGAUUCAUUAAAGCUGAGCAACCGCAGACAAGCACUUCAUUACAAAAGACCUGGGAAAUGCCAUAGCUGGGCAGGCCAGAGACAUUCCCGUGCCUGCCCAUCCCCUCCCCCUGCCAGCAGAGCCACUGUCUGCAAAACCCAAUGACCUUCUGCUCGCUUGCUCCCCAACUCCUGCUGCUUCGCUGCAAGGCAAAAGCACCGUGCGACGCGCGGAGAACUGGGAGCUUACCUCCUCCUUCCCCUCCGCGGGGGGCACCGGUUCAAAGCCGAGCUCUCGCUGUCCAGCCCCGGCCGCUUGCAAAAGGGAAACGACAGGGGAAGGAUCCCACGCGGCCGCGAGGGCUGCGGCGCUCCGUCACGAGCGGCCUUCGUUCCUGCCCUCGGCAGAGCGGGCAGGCUGGCCGGGCCGCGGGGGCGAGCAGGGCGACGCCGGGGCCGGGCUGGCGGCGAGGAACAGGAAUUACACUUGUUAUUAUUUCCUUGAUUUAUACAGUCUGGAUAAAAGGUAUCUGUCUGUACAGAGAAACGCUCUACAUUGCUGUAGUGCUGUAAUAGCAGUAUAUAUAUACACAUAUACUCGUUACUGAACUUUGAACGUUUUACUUAUAAAUAAUAAUACUUUUACUCACAUAUAUAGUAAGAGCCAGUGUUUUUCUUUCUCUGUUCAGAUCUGAGCGCCCAAUCAGCAUUUUGCCGUUUUCACAGCCACUCCAACAUCCCCUUCUCGGCUUCUUCCCCAGCAGCCUCCCGUCACAUCUCACCCCUCACCAGUGUGUCCAUGCUCUCUGCGCUCCCGUUGCCCAUGUUCACCUCGGUGUGUUUGCAGGUGCUACACAGAUCAUGAUGUUAUGCUCUAUUGCCUGGGAAAAUCUUUUUUUUUUUUUUUUUUUGUCUUUUUUUUGAGUCCCAGGUCCUUGAAAUCUGUUUGCAAAUCCUGUAAAAUUUAAUCUGUGGCAAACUAGGAGGAUUUUUGCUCGGAUAAAAUUGGAUUUAACCUGUUGUUUCCUUUAUCAGCUGUUCUGGAAAGAACACCAGAUUGAAACGGAGUCAGGCACUUGGCAACUGCUCCUCUCCUCCCCAUAUUUCAGCUCUAGCAUCAAUGACUUGCUGCCUGUCUGUUCAGUCCCUACUAGCUCUGUUUGGAUUUGCAUGCCACUGACUAUUAAUUGAAGAGUAAAUUAACCUUCUUCAGACCGUAUGUUGUGGCCAUAAUAUAUGUAAAGAUGUUAUUAGUGAUUGUAAAAAAUGAAAAUAAAAGCACAGUUGGACUCAUA
Rhea pennata is the source of this 1862-nucleotide long non-coding RNA. RefSeq lists it as uncharacterized. The transcript is spliced from 2 exons. Lineage: Eukaryota; Metazoa; Chordata; Aves; Rheiformes; Rheidae. The record is from RefSeq and is a predicted model, not a curated record.